UAGAAUUUAUUAUUGGUUAAUAUAAUUUUUAUUAAUUUUAAAUUUGUUAUUAAAUUAUAAUAUAGAAUUUUAAAAUUUAAUUAAAUAUGAUAAAAUUAGUAUAUUUUAUUGUUUAUGAAAAAUUAAUUAAAAGGUUAAGUAAAAGAAUUCGGCAAAUUAUUUUUCACCUGUUUAAUAAAAACAUGGCUUUUUGAAUAUUAUUUAAAGUUAAGCCUGCUCAAUGAAAAUUUAAAUGGCUGCGGUAUUUUGACCGUACAAAGGUAGCAUAAUAAUUUGUUUUUUAAUUGAAAGCUGGAAUGAAUGGUUGGAUGAAAAAAUUACUGUUUCUAUUUAAGUUAAUUAGAAUUUUAUUAUUAAGUAAAAAAGCUUAAUUGAAAUUUAAAGACGAGAAGACCCUAUAGAGUUUUAUAAUUUUUAAUAUUUUUUUAUAAAGAAUUAAUAAAUUUAAUAUAAAUAAUUAUUUAAUUGGGGUGAUUUAAAAAUUUAAUAAACUUUUAUUUAAAAGAAGACAUUUAUUUAUGAAUCAUAUGAUCCUUAAGAUAGAUUAAAAGAGUAAAUUACCUUAGGGAUAACAGCGUAAUUUUUUUUUAGAGUUCAAAUCGAAAAAAAAGAUUGCGACCUCGAUGUUGGAUUAAAAUUAAAUUUUGGAGUAAAAGCUAAAAAUUUAGGUCUGUUCGACCUUUAAAAUUUUACAUGAUCUGAGUUUAAACCGGUGUGAGCCAGGUUGGAUUCUAUCUUAAAUAAAUUAAGAUAUUUUAGUACGAAAGGACCAAAUAUUUAAUUAAAAAUUGUUUUUAAGAAUAAAAUAAG
Molecule: ribosomal RNA, 810 nt
Filed under: Coleoptera sp. ACP-2013
Lineage: Eukaryota; Metazoa; Arthropoda; Insecta; Coleoptera
Description: partial 16S ribosomal RNA
Rfam family: Bacterial large subunit ribosomal RNA (bases 568-726)
Source: RNAcentral